CCCCAUCUUCUUCCCCUUCAACCAAAAUUCAAGGCCUGCACAGGGAAUCCACAAAAAUCCUCUCCCUUCUCCUUCAAAACCGAACAGCCCCCUCCCCGUUUUCAUUUUCUUUUCUUCCCCAAACCAGCACCACCCACAACACCGAUCGACCUCUCCCUUUCCCCAAGACUAGCAGCUCCAUUUUCUUUUCCAGCAACACGCCGAACACUCCCCUCUUUCGGCCAUUCCUUCUUCCCAGCUCUCAUCGCCGGACACGGCGACGCCUCCUCCAACAAGCAACACGCCGGACAGAAGCCAGAGCAGUUCCCCUUCGCUGUACCAUCUCGCCGUUUGCAUCGCCAUCUUCCCCGACCUCUCCUCUCCGUCCAGCCUCCGACAGCAACAGCGACCACCACAGCAAACCCCAGCAGCGCCGUCCACAGAUCGGCAGCCACCACCACAGACCAGCCACAACUCCGCCGUCCGAAGAUCCAGCAACCAGCAGAGGAACGAAGACAGAGGCGAGAUCGAUCUGAAGAAGGAAAAGAACCGAUCUGCUUCUGCAGAUAAAAAAGAAGCAGAUCUGUAACGGGAAGAAAAAUAAAAACCGAUUGUUGUUUGUGAGUUUUUUUUGUUGUUGCAGGUGGCGGUGA
RNAcentral lists this long non-coding RNA (632 nucleotides) under Populus tremula. RNAcentral's name for it is "long non-coding RNA (PTRE_LNC000529)". Lineage: Eukaryota; Viridiplantae; Streptophyta; Magnoliopsida; Malpighiales; Salicaceae. The record is from RNAcentral.